GAUCCUCUCCUCCUCCUUAAUUUAUUUUUCUAUUUUUCCCUUCGUUAUUGCUGCUAUGGAGGAGGUUCUAUAGAGAGGGGGAAGGUGUUGUGGAGAGGGAGAGAUACGUUCUUGGGAGAAUGGUUCGAACAGGAGGGAGAGGGGAUGGCGCUAGGGAGGGACUCGGUCCCCUAAAGUUUUGAGGGAAAGGGGUUUUGACUUAGGUCAAGGGAGUGGGUUGGUUUGCUACAACUUAGCCCAAAUAGGAUUGGUCUUCCUGAAAUCUUUUUUAUAAAAAUAUGUCACAGAGGCGUGCCCGGAGAGGGAUCGUGCAUCCUUUGCUUUUCGUAUAUUGUCUAAGCUCAUUGCUAUAUAUAUGAUGUAUGCCCAUUCAACCGAAAAUGUUGGUUGAAGAAUUAAAGUGAAUGUCCAUUGUAAUUUUAAUCACAAUAUAGUGUUGAUUCUUUCACACAAGGUAUUCUUAGUAUAUAAUAAGAUCACACAUGACACAACUGUACAAAUCUCAAUAAUCGCCCGUGUAACCUACCAUCUAAUUUAAAUCAUAUUGAUAACCUGCCAUUUAAUCUCGUGACUUUCACCGACAAAAAUCUGUACGUAGGGCUUUAAAAAGGGGUUCGUAUUUUCAUACCCGCCUUAGACAGUCCUAAAAAAAAAAUCCUAGACCCCUUAUAUAUGUGGAUAAGUGGGAGUAGGUUUGUCAGUGUUGAGGGGGGAAGGAGAUGAGGAAGAGAGCUGGGAAAAGAAUAAAUUUUUGGAACAGGAGACAUCAGAAUUCAAAUAAUUUCCAGAGUUGAAUGUGGUGUGACACUGUGUCUGUGUACCUUAUCCGCUCAAGAUUCAUAUGUAACCAGUUUGCGCGACUAUGGUUAAAUUUUAAAAAAAACAAUCCUAUGAUCAUUGGCACCAGCAGCACCGCCACCGAUUUUUUAAAACAGGCGCAUCUCCCUUCAUGAACCUUCGUUUAUUCUCUGGGACUAUCAUGCUCUGCUGCAAUCUAGGUAACUUCUUCAUCUCAAUAUAGCUUGCAGCACUGUAAGGAGCAUGAACAAAUGCCGCGUGGCCUUGCCAAUCCAGUGUAAAAUGAUGAUUGCACGCGCACUGUUUU
Molecule: long non-coding RNA, 1105 nt
Filed under: Setaria viridis
Lineage: Eukaryota; Viridiplantae; Streptophyta; Magnoliopsida; Poales; Poaceae
Description: long non-coding RNA (SVIR_LNC008217)
Source: RNAcentral